This 253-nucleotide ribosomal RNA is filed under the name uncultured prokaryote. RNAcentral's name for it is "partial 16S ribosomal RNA". It matches the Rfam family "Bacterial small subunit ribosomal RNA", at positions 525 to 777 of the family's 1533-position model. The record is from RNAcentral.
ACGUAGGGGGCAAGCGUUGUCCGGAAUCACUGGGCGUAAAGCGCGCGCAGGCGGUCAUCUACGUCUGGGGUGAAAGCCCGGAGCUCAACUCCGGGAUUGCCUUGGAUACGGGAUGACUUGAGGAUCGGAGAGGCAAGGGGAAUUCCACGUGUAGCGGUGAAAUGCGUAGAGAUGUGGAGGAACACCGAUGGCGAAGGCAGCCUUCUGGGCCAAUACUGACGCUCAUGCACGAAAGCGUGGGGAGCAAACAGGA